UUGCCAGACUCCUACGGGGGCAGCAGUGAGGAAUAUUGGUCAAUGGCCGAGAGGCUGAACCAGCCAAGUCGCGUGAGGGAUGACGGCCCUACGGGUUGUAAACCUCUUUAGGCGGGGAGCAAUGCCGGGCACGCGUGCCCGGAGGGAGAGUACCCGCAGAAAAAGCAUCGGCUAACUCCGUGCCAGCAGCCGCGGUAAUACGGAGGAUGCGAGCGUUAUCCGGAUUUAUUGGGUUUAAAGGGUGCGCAGGCGGAAUGUAAAGUCAGCGGUAAAAUUGCGGGGCUCAACCCCGUCGAGCCGUUGAAACUGGCAGACUUGAGUUGGCGAGAAGUACGCGGAAUGCGCGGUGUAGCGGUGAAAUGCAUAGAUAUCGCGCAGAACUCCGAUUGCGAAGGCAGCGUACCGGCGCCAGACUGACGCUGAGGCACGAAAGCGUGGGGAUCGAACAGGAUUAGAUACCCGGGUA
RNAcentral lists this ribosomal RNA (466 nucleotides) under uncultured bacterium. Its description in RNAcentral is "bacterial SSU rRNA". It matches the Rfam family "Bacterial small subunit ribosomal RNA", at positions 328 to 792 of the family's 1533-position model. The record is from RNAcentral.